Molecule: small RNA, 171 nt
Filed under: uncultured Prevotellamassilia sp.
Lineage: Bacteria; Pseudomonadati; Bacteroidota; Bacteroidia; Bacteroidales; Prevotellaceae
Description: Bacteroidales-1 6S-Bacteroidales RNA suggested
Rfam family: Bacteroidales-1 6S-Bacteroidales RNA suggested
Source: RNAcentral
GCUGUACCGGUUCGAUUGGGAUACUCAUCAAUAAUUACCAGAAAACCGAGAAUGCUUGCCUUGAUAAUGGCGUGCCGAUAUGCGCUUGCGUAGGGUCGGAUUACAAAGUCAAGGAGGGCGCUCAAAACUUACUAUCUCGGAGUUUCAUCACAUCAUCGGUACAGCCUUUUU